Molecule: ribosomal RNA, 497 nt
Filed under: uncultured bacterium
Lineage: Bacteria
Description: partial 16S ribosomal RNA
Rfam family: Bacterial small subunit ribosomal RNA
Source: RNAcentral
GAUGAACGCUGGCGGCGUGCCUAAUACAUGCAAGUCGAGCGAACAGACGAGGAGCUUUCUCCUCUGACGUUAGCGGCGGACGGGUGAGUAACACGUGGAUAACCUACCUAUAAGACUUGGAUAACUUCGGGAAACCGGAGCUAAUACCGGAUAAUAUAUUGAACCGCAUGGUUCAAUAGUGAAAGACGGUUUUGCUGUCACUUAUAGAUGGAUCCGCGCCGCAUUAGCUAGUUGGUAAGGUAACGGCUUACCAAGGCAACGAUGCGUAGCCGACCUGAGAGGGUGAUCGGCCACACUGGAACUGAGACACGGUCCAGACUCCUACGGGAGGCAGCAGUAGGGAAUCUUCCGCAAUGGGCGAAAGCCUGACGGAGCAACGCCGCGUGAGUGAUGAAGGUCUUCGGAUCGUAAAACUCUGUUAUUAGGGAAGAACAAAUGUGUAAGUAACUAUGCACGUCUUGACGGUACCUAAUCAGAAAGCCACGGCUAACUACGCG